This is a non-coding RNA of Macaca mulatta (Rhesus monkey), 1768 nucleotides long. The record is from RefSeq and is a predicted model, not a curated record. NCBI's taxonomy places the organism in Eukaryota, Metazoa, Chordata, Mammalia, Primates, Cercopithecidae.
GCCAAUGGCCCUACUGCGCCGGCGCCGCCGGGAGCGCCAGGCCUCAUCCCGCUUCCUAGGAUAGCGCUGCGCGCAUGCGCCUUGACGAGUGAGCCGGGGAGCCAUGGACAACUGUUUGGCGGCCGCAGCGCUGAAUGGGGUGGACCGACGUUCCCUGCAGCGUUCAGCAAGGCUGGCUCUAGAAGUGCUGGAGCGGGCCAAGAGGAGGGCGGUGGACUGGCAUGCCCUGGAGCGUCCCAAAGGCUGCAUGGGGGUCCUUGCCCGGGAGGCGCCCCACCUAGAGAGACAGCCGGCAGCCGGCCCGCAGCGCGUUUUCCCGGGAGAGAGAGAAGAGAGGCCCCCAACCCUUAGUGCUUCCUUCAGAACAAUGGCUGAAUUCAUGGACUAUACUUCAAGUCAGUGUGGGAAGUAUUAUUCAUCUGUGCCAGAGGAAGGAGGGGCAACCCAUGUCUAUCGUUAUCACAGAGGCAAGUCGAAGCUGUACAUGUGCUCGGACAUAGGGAAUGGUCAGAGAAAAGACAGAAAAAAGACAUCCCUUGGUCCUGGAGGCAUCUAUCAAAUAUCAGAGUGUGCUCCAGAGGCAUCCCAGCCUGUGAGUACGGAACUGCUUACGCACUGGGUUUCACCACCGUUACAACUCCAUGAACCAGUUGACAUGGUUCUUAGAGGGCUAUUUGAAUUGGGUCUAUAGUAUUUUUAAGUUGAGAUGUUCUUACACUUAAGAAGGGAGUGCAGAAAAUUUUGGUUCAGUGUAAAACUGGGUUUUCUUGGUAUUCUUCCUUCACUCAAAGCUUCAGGGAUACUCUUUGUGCCUGAACUCAUAGUUGUGGUUGGAAAGAAUGUGAAGUAUUCACAUCUCAGUUCCUACCUACAGCUCAGCUGAGCUGGCACUGGGUCCUGCUGGAAUUCCACCAUCUGUUCAAGCAGCAGGAGGGGCACGAUCCUCCUGCUAACAAAGUGAAAACCAUUGCUGAAAUUCCGAAACAUACACAUUUGGUGAGAUCAGGUUCCACAACAUUUGAAGGCAUUCGUUCUCAUUUUCCAAAAAUGUUUCUUUGUAAAAACAUAUAAUGAGUUUUUCAUUUUUAAGUAAAGUACUCAUUAGUUCAUGAAGCCAGGGGAUCCUUUUUGGAACUUGGAAGGGCUAGAAUUCUGAGGAAAGGAACUUCAUCCAGCAUGGUGCCGCAAUACAUUUCUUACUUUUUGUUUGUAUACAGUUUGCUACUAGUCAGGAUUUGGAGUAUACUAGAGUUAUUAACAAUUCAGAAUAUUCUGCUUGUAGUACAAAUAUAAGUUGUUAAGGCUUAGACGCCUCUCAACACUUGCAGACUUUUGGUAAUACUGAUGUUCCACAGUGUUGGAGUUCUACAGCCACAUGCCAACCUUACCUCUAUGUCUCCUUGUGUGCAAAUGAAGCAUCCUUGGCUUUCUGCAAUUCUGAUACAACCAUAUUUUCUAAAAGUGACUUCUAUUUACAUGGUUGACAACCAAUAAAUAGUUAAUGACAUUGUUAUACACAUUUACAUCAGUUAAAGGAUUAUAGACUUCCAAUUUUGCAGAAACUGGACAGGCAUGCAAGAAUACAACAUUAAACAGCUUUGGAAAAACUUGGCUUCAAAUCCAUCUGCAAGGCUGAGAACAUUUCUAAGGACCUCUACAUAGAAGUAUAUCCAGGGACCUAUUCUGUCACUGUGGGCUCAAAUGACUUAACCAAGAAGACUCAUGUGGUAGCAGUUGAUUCUGGACAAAGUGUGGACCUGAUCUUCCC